RNAcentral lists this long non-coding RNA (227 nucleotides) under Elaeis guineensis (African oil palm). RNAcentral describes it as "long non-coding RNA (EGUI_LNC046104)". Lineage: Eukaryota; Viridiplantae; Streptophyta; Magnoliopsida; Arecales; Arecaceae. The record is from RNAcentral.
AGAGACUGCUUGGAUUUUUUCAAUCCACGUAUAUAGAUACCAUGCUGAAAUAGUUUAGUGUGGAGAAUUUCAAGAAAGGCUAUCUUCUAAUAGGUCAUAAAAUUUUUCUCUCAAAGAAGGAUUGUCUGAUAACUCCUCAAGAGAGAAUGUAUAAGUAGAGUUUCAUAUGCUUCGAUAGUAAGUUUUAUUAUGUAUGUCAUAAUAUGUAUAAGAUCAGACGUGGCAUA